RNAcentral lists this non-coding RNA (87 nucleotides) under Protocruzia adhaerens. The record is from RNAcentral. Lineage: Eukaryota; Ciliophora; Spirotrichea.
CACAAAAAAUCGGAAAAUUGAAGAAAAGACAAGCAAUUUACCGGAUGGCUCUUCUAUAUCUCUCUGGAUGUAUGGCAGGCCUUCCAA